This 182-nucleotide small nuclear RNA is filed under the name Chinchilla lanigera (long-tailed chinchilla). RNAcentral's name for it is "U2 spliceosomal RNA (ENSCLAG00000020952.1)". It matches the Rfam family "U2 spliceosomal RNA". From Rfam's summary of the family: U2 is a small nuclear RNA (snRNA) component of the spliceosome (involved in pre-mRNA splicing). Complementary binding between U2 snRNA (in an area lying towards the 5' end but 3' to hairpin I) and the branchpoint sequence (BPS) of the intron results the bulging out of an unpaired adenosine, on the BPS, which initiates a nucleophilic attack at the intronic 5' splice site, thus starting the first of two transesterification reactions that mediate splicing. Lineage: Eukaryota; Metazoa; Chordata; Mammalia; Rodentia; Chinchillidae. The record is from Rfam by way of RNAcentral.
AUCACUUCUCCACCUUUUGGCAAAGACCAAGUGUUCUUAUCAGUUUAAUAUAUGAUACAUCCUUUAUCCAAGGACAAUACAUUAAAUGGAUUUUUGGAGCUGGGAGAUGGAACAGGAGCUUGCUCUAUCCACUCCACUCAUCGAUCUGGUACUGCAGUACCUCCAGGAAUGGCACAAUCCCU